GAGUUUGAUUAUGGCUCAGGAUGAACGCUGGCGGCGUGUGUAACACAUGCAAGUUGGACGACGGUGCUAUGAAGUGGUAACACGGAAUGGUAUACGGAGUAGCGGACGGGUGAGUAAAGCAUGAGGAGCUGUCCUGUUGAGGGGGAUAACGUUCGGAAACGGACCCUAAUACCCCAUAGGCCGAGAGGUUAAAGGCAGAGAUGCGCGACAGGAGGUACUCGUGUCCUAUCAGCUGGUUGGUGAGGUAACGGCUCACCAAGGCGACGACGGGUAGCCGGCCUGAGAGGGUGACCGGCCACACUGGAACUGAGACACGGUCCAGACUCCUACGGGAGGCAGCAGUGGGGAAUAUUGGGCAAUGGGAGGAAUCCUGACCCAGCGACGCCGCGUGAACGAAGACGGCCUUCGGGUUGUAAAGUUCUUUUAUGUGGGAAGAAGGAAGUGA
RNAcentral lists this ribosomal RNA (445 nucleotides) under Synergistales bacterium canine oral taxon 244. RNAcentral describes it as "bacterial SSU rRNA". It matches the Rfam family "Bacterial small subunit ribosomal RNA", at positions 9 to 457 of the family's 1533-position model. The record is from RNAcentral. Lineage: Bacteria; Thermotogati; Synergistota; Synergistia; Synergistales.